UAAAUACUUCUUUUGUCCGAAAAAAUUUGUUCCUCAAAUGAAUGUAUCUAGCACCAAGUUAGUGCUAAAUACAUUCAUUCGAGAAACAAACUUGAAACAAGUUUUUUCGGACGGAGGAAGUAGAAG
Non-coding RNA from Triticum urartu, 126 nucleotides. The record is from Rfam. NCBI's taxonomy places the organism in Eukaryota, Viridiplantae, Streptophyta, Magnoliopsida, Poales, Poaceae.